Long non-coding RNA from Arachis ipaensis, 568 nucleotides. RefSeq lists it as uncharacterized. Lineage: Eukaryota; Viridiplantae; Streptophyta; Magnoliopsida; Fabales; Fabaceae. The record is from RefSeq and is a predicted model, not a curated record.
UUUGCUUCGAAGUAGCUUUAGCUUGCUCUCUUUGAAUCCCCAUCCUCACCCAAACGGCUCAUUCUCUCUUCUUCUGUGUGUUUUGCUCUUCUAGGCUUUCUCUCUUGUGCUUCAUAAGAUUCUGCUGGAAUCUCUAGGCUCAUUGUUUGUGAAGUGAAGAAGAGAAAAUAGGAGAGGAGAUCAGAGGAGUAGGAUAUCGUCCCGAGGGGCGGGGCCCUCCUCGGAGGCGCCACAGAGGCGGAUCAUGCGGACACAGACGGCGGAGAACCUCGGGGAGUCGAUAUUCGACAGUGAGGCGGUGCCCUCCUCUCUUGUGGAGAUAGCUCCCAUCCUCCGUGUUUCCAAUGAGGUCGAAAAGACGCAACCCAUGGUUGCUUAUCUCUGUAUGUUACUCCACUACUCCCUACUCCAUCUUCCAUGAAAUCGGAUGGAAGUCCACAGUCAGUGGCAAUGAGGAACAUUCAAAUUGAACAUGCACAUCAGACAAAUGAUUUCUAUUUGCAACAAACUAUUAAUCCAUAUCCUAAACUAGUAUCUCUUCAUAGAUCUUUAUUUUUAUGAUGCAUAA